ACGACGUUUCCGCGUCUUCGUCAACGUAACCGACACGUUUCUCUGUUUCUCCAAGAACGUCGCCUCUCACUUCAAUCCACCCGCCGUCAUCAACCGUAUCCCAAUCCGGAACGCUCGAAAACUCAUCUCCGGCGAGUUGCUUGAUUCUCUCAGCCGGUGAAUCCCAAAAAUCAGAGUAAUCAGCAAAAGGGUCAGUGACUUUUCGAGUCUUCGCAUGAACUCCAGAACCGUUGGUCCAACACAGUGCUCGUGCUCUGCAAACGAGACUCUCCGUCGUCGAGGAAAGGAUGUGGAUGUUUAAGCAACUCCUCCACCGUCCACCUCUGUUUCGGAUCAUUCUCCAAACAACUCACCAGAAAGUCCUUACCUUUCUCCGAUAUAACCUCCGGCGACUCGCCGGGAAUCUAAUCUUAUACAUUGCGGUAACGACGUCGUUUAGCUCCGGCCAAGAGGUCGAGCCAGUCAUCAUCUCGUGAACCCGGAUAAUCCAGAGUUUGAAACCGGUUUAGCGCAACCCAUAUCAGCGAUUUUGCAAACGACGCCGUUCUCUUCGACCAGCACGUUCUGGCUCUUCAAGUCGCAGUGUCAAAUUUAAUUGAAAUUAUUGAUAGAAAACUUCUUAAUUCUAGACGGCAGUGAUUGAAAGAAAAAAAAAAUUCAUGACAUGUCUUCACGGCUUAUCAGUCUAUACCAGUAUCUCAUGUUGAGACGCCUCUUGAUUCUUUCUGUAAUGUGUUUCAGGUUGCAAUAAAUGGACGUGUUUUAGGGGAAGGAGUUGGAUCAACAUGGGAGAAAGCUAGAGUGCAUGCUGCUGAGAGAGCACUGGGUAAUGUGAGACCAUUGCUUCAACGACAAGUAUCUUCAAGAUCGUUCGGUGGGAUGUCAAACAAGCGUCUGAAGCCAAACUUUCAACGGUCCAUGCAACGGAUGGCAUCUUCAGGAAGAUCCUCUUAACAAAAAUCAUACAUUCUGAGUAGAAGCUACACAGCUUGAGGGGCAAAGAGAAGACCUAAGCAUGCUUGUUUGGCUUCUUCUCAGGCUGUAAGUUACUCAGUAGAUAUCAGUAAACUGUUUAGGCUUUGCCUGGUUCUAAGUUUUAUCAAAUGAGUAGCCAACAUAUUAUUAUUUUGUGAGAAAAAAAAAUUGCACA
This is a long non-coding RNA of Brassica oleracea var. oleracea, 1150 nucleotides long. RefSeq lists it as uncharacterized. The transcript has 4 exons. The record is from RefSeq and is a predicted model, not a curated record. Lineage: Eukaryota; Viridiplantae; Streptophyta; Magnoliopsida; Brassicales; Brassicaceae.